Molecule: ribosomal RNA, 476 nt
Filed under: uncultured bacterium
Lineage: Bacteria
Description: bacterial SSU rRNA
Rfam family: Bacterial small subunit ribosomal RNA
Source: RNAcentral
GACGAACGCUGGCGGCGUGCCUAACACAUGCAAGUCAACUUGACUGAAGGAGCAAUCUGACAGUAGAGUGGCGCAAGGGUGCGUAACGCGUAAGUAACUUGCCCAAGGUAAGGAAUAACGUCGAGAAAUCGGCGCUAAUACCUCAUAAUGCAGCGGAUCCGCAUGGAUAUGUUGUUAAAGGUUACCGCCUUGGGAUAGGCUUGCGUCUGAUUAGCUAGUUGGUGUGGUAAACGGCACACCAAGGCUACGAUCAGUAACUGGUCUGAGAGGAUGAUCAGUCACACUGGAACUGAGACACGGUCCAGACUCCUACGGGAGGCAGCAGUGAGGAAUAUUGGGCAAUGCUCGAAAGAGUGACCCAGCAACGCCGCGUGGAGGAUGAAGGUAUUCUAUAUCGUAAACUCCUGUGAGAGCAGACGAAAGACAGAUUAUUAAUCUGGAUGACUGUAUGCUCAGAGGAAGCCCGGCUAACUACG